UGCAGUCGAGCGAAUGACGAGGAGCUUGCUCCUCUGAUUUAGCGGCGGACGGGUGAGUAACACGUGGGUAACCUGCCUGUAAGACGGGGAUAACUUCGGGAAACCGAAGCUAAUACCGGAUAAUAAAGAGAAACUCCUGUUUCUUUUUUGAAAGUCGGUUUCGGCUGACGCUUACAGAUGGGCCCGCGGCGCAUUAGCUAGUUGGUGAGGUAACGGCUCACCAAGGCCACGAUGCGUAGCCGACCUGAGAGGGUGAUCGGCCACACUGGGACUGAGACACGGCCCAGACUCCUACGGGAGGCAGCAGUAGGGAAUCUUCGGCAAUGGACGAAAGUCUGACCGAGCAACGCCGCGUGAGCGAUGAAGGCCUUCGGGUCGUAAAGCUCUGUUGUCAGAGAAGAACAAGUACCGGAGUAACUGCCGGUACCUUGACGGUACCUGACCAGAAAGCCACGGCUAACUACGUGCCAGCAGCCGCGGUAAUACGUAGGUGGCAAGCGUUAUCCGGAAUUAUUGGGCGUAAAGCGCGCGCAGGCGGUUCCUUAAGUCUGAUGUGAAAGCCCACGGCUCAACCGUGGAGGGUCAUUGGAAACUGGGGAACUUGAGUGCAGGAGAGAAAAGUGGAAUUCCACGUGUAGCGGUGAAAUGCGUAGAGAUGUGGAGGAACACCAGUGGCGAAGGCGGCUUUUUGGCCUGUAACUGACGCUGAGGCGCGAAAG
Molecule: ribosomal RNA, 719 nt
Filed under: Fictibacillus rigui
Lineage: Bacteria; Bacillati; Bacillota; Bacilli; Caryophanales; Fictibacillaceae
Description: bacterial SSU rRNA
Rfam family: Bacterial small subunit ribosomal RNA
Source: RNAcentral